AUGCCACCACCGCUCUUCGAGGCCAGCACCACCUCCCAGCCAGGUCCUUUCAGGGGGACGAGAGGUGCGGAAUUAGCAGCCGCUGCAGGGCCGGUGAGGUCGCUGCGGUCCAUCACCUUCAGAAGGUCCUUGUCGCUGAUAUCUGUCUGGAUCAUCCUGUCUUCCUCGCCCUGCUCGUCCCUCAGCAGCGCUAGCAGCUCAGCCUCCUGCAAUUCUCAACAUUGA
RNAcentral lists this ribosomal RNA (225 nucleotides) under Triticum aestivum (bread wheat). RNAcentral describes it as "partial small subunit ribosomal RNA". The record is from RNAcentral. Lineage: Eukaryota; Viridiplantae; Streptophyta; Magnoliopsida; Poales; Poaceae.